GACGAACGCUGGCGGCGUGCCUAACACAUGCAAGUCGAACGGGGCAGCAAUGCCCAGUGGCGAACGGGUACGUAACACGUGAGGAACUUGUCCAUCGGCGGGGGAUAGCCGGCCCAACGGCCGGGUAAUACCGCGUACGUCGGCGAGACCGCAUGGUCUUGCCGGGAAAGCAGCAAUGCACCGAUGGAGAGCCUCGCGGCCUAUCAGCUAGUUGGGUGAGGUAAUGGGCUCACCAAGGCGACGACGGGUAGGCUGAUCUGAGAGGAUGAUCAGCCACAUUGGGACUGAGACACGGCCCAGACUCCUACGGGAGGCAGCAGUGGGGAAUAUUGCGCAAUGGGCGAAAGCCUGACGCAGCGACGCCGCGUGUGGGAUGACGGCCUCGGUUGUAA
This 392-nucleotide ribosomal RNA is filed under the name uncultured bacterium. RNAcentral describes it as "bacterial SSU rRNA". It matches the Rfam family "Bacterial small subunit ribosomal RNA", at positions 28 to 428 of the family's 1533-position model. The record is from RNAcentral.